AACAAAAAGCGCCAGGACUCAAGUGAUUGAUAUUCAAAUGACCAAAGCAAAGAUUUGAAGUCUCACUUAAGUUGACGAGGAUGGGGAGUAUCGAAUCUUCGGCGGAUGCCCCACGGUACCACACUACCGUUAACAACUGAUAAAUACAGAAAGUGAUUUUUGUAACAACA
RNAcentral lists this non-coding RNA (170 nucleotides) under Clostridium tyrobutyricum. RNAcentral's name for it is "glmS glucosamine-6-phosphate activated ribozyme". It matches the Rfam family "glmS glucosamine-6-phosphate activated ribozyme aptamer", at positions 5 to 150 of the family's 167-position model. From Rfam's summary of the family: This entry contains a glucosamine-6-phosphate activated ribozyme that is found in the mRNA for GlmS. The record is from RNAcentral. Lineage: Bacteria; Bacillati; Bacillota; Clostridia; Eubacteriales; Clostridiaceae.